Molecule: ribosomal RNA, 822 nt
Filed under: uncultured marine bacterium
Lineage: Bacteria
Description: bacterial SSU rRNA
Rfam family: Bacterial small subunit ribosomal RNA
Source: RNAcentral
AAUGAACGCUGGCGGCACGCUUUACACAUGCAAGUCGAACGAGAUCUUCGGAUCUAGUGGCAGACGGGUGCGUAACGCGUGGGAACCUGCCCUUUAGUAAGGAAUAACUUUAGGAAACUGAAGCUAAUACCUUAUAAUCCCUUCGGGGGAAAGCUUUAUGCGCUAAUGGAUGGGCCCGCGUUAGAUUAGCUUGUUGGUGAGGUAAAGGCUCACCAAGGCUACGAUCUAUAGCUGGUCUGAGAGGAUGAUCAGCCACACUGGGACUGAGACACGGCCCAGACUCCUACGGGAGGCAGCGGUGGGGAAUAUUGGACAAUGGGGGCAACCCUGAUCCAGCGAUGCCGCGUGAGUGAUGAAGGCCCUAGGGUUGUAAAACUCUUUCGCCAGGGAAGAUAAUGACGGUACCUGGUAAAGAAGAUCCGGCUAACUCCGUGCCAGCAGCCGCGGUAAUACGGAGGGAUCUAGCGUUAUUCGGAAUAACUGGGCGUAAAGCGAGCGUAGGCGGAUUUGUAAGUUGGAGGUGAAAUCCCAGGGCUUAACCCUGGAACUGCCUUCAAAACUACAUUUCUUGAGUUUGGUAGAGGAGAGUGGAAUUCCUAGUGUAGAGGUGAAAUUCGUAGAUAUUAGGAGGAACACCAGUGGCGAAGGCGACUCUCUGGGCCAAUACUGACGCUGAGGUUCGAAAGCGUGGGUAGCGAACAGGAUUAGAUACCCUGGUAGUCCACGCAGUAAACGAUGAGUGCUAGAUGUUGGGAACAUUAGUUUUCAGCAUCGCAGCUAACGCGUUAAGCACUCCGCCUGGGAAGUACGGCCGCAAGGCUA